UUGAAUCCAAAGGAUGUUGCUGGCAUCGCAAGGUGCAUGUGCACUCCGCCUUUUCAAUCCACCUGUGCACACAUUGUAGGGAGCGGAUUAAGUUCUGCUUCCUAUGUUUUCAUACACACCUUUGAAGUCCUUAGAAUGUUUAAUAGUAGGCCCUUUGGGUUGAAUUUAAUA
Molecule: unclassified non-coding RNA, 171 nt
Filed under: uncultured Agaricomycetes
Lineage: Eukaryota; Fungi; Basidiomycota; Agaricomycetes
Description: sequence contains ITS1
Source: RNAcentral